AUGAAAUUCUACAAUUUGUUGUGUGGAAAGUAUCGCAAGCAAUCUUUUUGUUUGCAUUCACGUUUGACGGUUAAAGGUAGAAUCACGUAUGUUUGAAAAUUGACUGUUACAUGUCUAGUGGCUAUCAAGCCUUUAUAGAAAUCAUCAAACUAACUUAAUCAUUAAUAUUUCCUUUCUAUUAACAAUUCGUCUAAAAAAGGCUAUAUAAGGAAAUACAAAACGAAUUCAUUGAAGAAUCUAACGAGCUCUGUGAAGGGACCUUUUUUUAACGUCUUCUCAAAAGGUCCCAAAAUAUGGAGCAAGAUACGGAGUAUGUAAAAUUGCCAUUAGAAGAGCGUUGUGUACAUAAGUCAUGGAGAGCAAGAUUACAUGGAUAUGAAGAAUGUGUAAAAACAUUUCAAUGUAUAGACGAUGAAAAAUCGCCAGAAUGGAAUAAAUUUUUAGGCUUUGUUAAAAAGUUUGUAUUGGAUAGUAAUGCUGCGGCACAAGAGAAAGGCUUAGAGGCAGUGUUAGCUUUUGUAGAAAAUGCGGCUGUUGCAGGAAAAACUGUUGGUGAAGUUAUGAAUGGUAUAGUGACUAAAUGUAUUGCUGCACCUAAAGCUAAAACGAAAGAUUUAGCAGUGCAAAUAACAUUAAUGUAUAUAGAAAUAGAAAAACAUGAAACAGUACAAGAAGAAUUACUGAAAGGAACAGAGGCAAAAAAUCCAAAAAUUGUAUCUGCAUGUAUUGCUGCUUUGACUCUUAGUCUAAGUGAAUUUGGAUCAAAAGUUAUUAAUGUCAAGCCUCUAAUAAAGAAGAUACCUAGUUUUUUAGAAGAUAGAGAUAAAAUGGUUAGAGAAGAAGGUAAAGCAUUGGUCAUUGAAAUGUACAGAUGGAUAGGUAUUCCAUUGAAGCAACAAUUGAAUACUUUAAAACCAGUACACAUUACAGAAUUAGAGACAGAAUUUAAUAAUUUAGGAAAUGAAAAAGCUGUACCUAAACGUUACUUAAAAUCACAAAAACCAAAAACAACAUGUGUUAGCGAUCCAAUAAUGGGUGACGAUAGUGAAGGUGAGAAAGAAGAAAUUGACAGAGACGUAGCACCAGACAUAGAUCCAUAUGAAUUACUAGAACCUGUUGACAUACUUUCUAAAUUACCUAAAGACUUUUAUGAAAAGUUAGAAGCUAAGAAAUGGCAAGAGAGAAAAGAAGCCUUAGAGGCUUUAGAAAAACUUGUAUCAAAUCCAAGAUUAGAAAAUGGUGACUAUGGAGAAGUAGUAAAAGCAUUGAAAAAGGUAAUAUCCAAAGAUACAAAUGUAUUGGUCGUUGCAUUAGCAGGAAAAUGUUUGACUGGUUUAGCCACAGGUUUGAGAAAACGAUUUCAAUCUUAUGCAACAUCGUGUUUGGCGGCUAUUUUGGAAAAAUUUCGCGAGAAGAAACAAAACGUUGUACAAGCGCUUCGAGAAGCUGCAGAUGCAAUUUUUCUUAGUAUAACAAUCGAUCUUAUACUGGAAGAUACACUUGCUGCGUUAGAAAAUAAAAAUCCUGCAGUAAAAGCAGAAACUGCUGCCUAUUUAGCAAGAUGUUUUGCUCGUACUCCUUCACCGAGCUUAAAUAAAAAGUUAUUGAAGGCAUAUACAACGACUCUUUUAAAAACAUUGAAUGAACCAGAUCCUACUGUUAGGGAUAAUUCAGCAGAAGCAAUUGCAACAGCGAUGAAAUUAGUUGGAGAAAAAGCAAUGAUGCCAUUUUUGACAGACAUAGAUAAUUUAAAAAUGACUAAGAUCAAAGAAUGUGCAGAAAAGGUUGUUAUAAUAGUUAAACUUCCACCUGCACAAAAGCCUUCAAAGCCUAGGCCCAAAACAGCACCAGCUAAAGUCGAGCAAAAUGCAAAACCAAAAGAAAAUGAAACAAAAUUAAUGAAAAGGUCGAAUACUAAUACGACUAAACAAGGUUUAUCAAGAAAACCAAUCGCUUCUUCUUCAACAAAUUUAGCUUCUAAGAAAUCUUCAAAUGUGAAAGUAGAAAAGGAUUACAGUACUGAAGAAAUAGAGGAAAUGGCUUCACAAAUAUUACCAAGUGAAGUAAUUUCGGGACUUGUAGAUAGUAAUUGGAAAACUCGAUUGUCUGCUGUUGAACAACUUUCUCAGAUUGUAAAGGAUAUGGAAUCAACAGAUGUAUCUACACAAGUCAUUGUAAGAACAUUGGCAAAGAAAUCUGGCCUUAAAGAUAUGAACUUUCAAGUCCUCAAACACAGAUUGGAGAUUAUAAAAACUUUGGCAGAAAAUUAUCCAUUUUCAUGUACUGUUUCUGGAUAUUGCAUUAUAGAUAUAACAGAAAAAUUAGGAGAUGCAAAAAAUAGUCCAAUUGCAUCUGAGACACUUUUAUCGAUAGCGAGUGCUACUAGUUUUGAAUAUGUCGCAAAUGAAAUACUUGCUUUUGCAUUUAAUCAAAAAAAUCCCAAAGUUCAACAAGAAACAUUGCUUUGGUUAAGUAGGGGUCUUAUGGAAUUUGGCUGCACAGUUAAUGUCAAAUCUUUAAUAGAAAAUAUAAAGAAAGCAGUAGCAGCAACUAAUCCUGGUGUACGUACUGCUGCUAUAACAUUAAUCGGCACUUUAUAUUUAUAUAUGGGAAGACAACUGCUAACAUUUUUUGAUAAUGAAAAACCAUCUCUCAAACAACAAAUUGAACAAGAAUGCGAAAAACAUAAUGGAGAAAAUCCACCUGUACCUAUACGAGGUGCAAAAAAUAAGAAAAUUAAAAGUGACGAUGCUGAUGAAACUGAGAUUAAUGAAAAAGUUGAAAAUAAUGACCAAAAUAUAAAUGACUUAAUUCCACGGAUUGACAUUAGCAGUCAAAUUACAGAAAGUCUUCUUAGUGAAUUGUCUGAUAAGAAUUGGAAGGUACGAAAUGAAGGAUUACAAAAAAUAAGUGCUAUAUUAAAUGAAUCAAAAUAUAUAAAGGGCUCUAUUGGUGAUUUACCACAAGGAUUAGCAUUGCGAUUAGUCGAUAGUAAUAGUAAAAUUGCACAAUCAACUUUAGGUAUAUGCCAAACGUUAGCCAUGUCAUUAGGUACAUCAGCAAAACAACAUUUAAGAAUUUUAUUACCUGGUUUCAUACAAUGUCUUGGAGAUAGUAAGGUUUGGAUAAGAACUGCUGCAAUUUCAUGUAUCGAUACAUGGGGAGAACAAUGCGGUUACAAAGAAUUCUUUGAUGGAGAAAUUAUAGGAGAUGCUCUAAAAUCUGGAUCGCCAACACUAAGAGCUGAAUUAUGGAAUUGGUUGUCCCAAAAGUUACCAUUAAUUCCUGUAAAACAAAUACCAAAAGAAGAACUUCUUGUUUGUAUACCUCAUUUAUAUAAUAAUUUAGAAGAUAGAAAUUCUGAUGUAAGAAAAAAUGCUCAAGAAGCUGUACUUGGAUUCAUGAUUCAUCUUUCUUAUGAAGCAAUGGCUAGAAAUACAGAAAAAUUAAAGCCUGGCUCAAGAACAGUUGUACUCGCUGCUCUAGAUAAAUCUCGACCUAAUUUACCUAUAAAACCCUUAUCUAAGAAACAAUUAUCAGACGAAAAUAUACAAAAAACCGUGAAAAGUGGAGGUGCUGCAAAAAUAGCUAAAGCAGUGGUCAAACCAAAGGGAGGGGCAUCAUCCAAACCAGGAAGUGCUCGUAAAAAGGAUGAAGAUGUUGAUAACAGUCCUUUGCUAGUAACUAACAAUCUAAAACAUCAACGAGUCAUCGAUGAACAAAAAUUGAAAGUUUUAAAAUGGAAUUUCACAACACCAAGGGAAGAAUUUGUGGAACUACUUAAAGAACUUAUGACUGCGGCAAAUGUGAACAAAACUUUAAUGACGAAUAUGUUUCAUUCUGAUUUUCGAUAUCAUUUAAAAGCUAUUGAAUCGUUAACAGAGGAUAUUCCUGGCAACAGUAAAGCAUUAGUUUCAAAUCUUGAUCUUAUUCUUAAGUGGUUGACUUUGAGAUUCUUUGAUACUAAUCCUUCUGUGUUAUUAAAGGGUCUGGAUUAUUUGCAAACUGUUUUUAAUUUAUUGAUAGAUGAUCAGUAUCACAUGUUAGAAAAUGAAGCCGCAUCAUUUAUUCCAUAUCUUAUUAUUAAGAUAGGAGAUCCGAAAGACGCUGUGCGUAAUGGCGUGCGCGCAUUAUUUAAACAAAUAGCACUUGUAUAUCCUGUCAGCAAGUUAUUUUCAUAUGUAAUGGAAGGCCUAAAAUCAAAGAAUGCUCGUCAAAGAACAGGAUGUUUAGAUCAAUUAGGGUCACUUAUAGAAAAUUAUGGAGUUAGCGUAUGUCAACCAUCUCCGGCAGCAGCAUUAAAAGAAGUUGCUAAACAAAUAGCAGAUCGUGAUAAUUCUGUUCGCAAUGCUGCUUUAAAUUGUAUCGUACAAGCAUAUUUUCUUGAAGGUGAAAAAAUAACUAAAUUAGUUGGCCAGAUAUCAGAAAAGGAUCAAUCAUUAUUGGAUGAACGUAUCAAAAGGGCAGCAAAAAAUCGUCCCGUAAAAUCAGCAUCUUCUACCAGAAUUGUACCUACAAUUACGGACACUGUUCCACUGACGGAAGAUGUAGAAAGUGACUAUAAAGAAGAAAAUGAAGAAAUUCCAGAACAGGAGGAUGAAGAAGAUGAAAUGACUAAUAAUCUGACGAAAGUUAUAACAGCCGAAAAAGCAGAAAUUGAUACUGAACAAUCAAAGGAACGCUGUAUAGUUGUGCAGUCAACUUGUGAAAUAAAGAAGGAACUUAAUCAAGAUACUCAUCUACCUCUUAAAAAUGAUCAAGAUGAUGUUAACAUGAAUCCAAUUCCAAUAGGACAAACAGAAGCAAUUGGACCAUUUGGAUUGGACAUGGAUUUUUUACAAAAAAUUGAAUCGAUUGCUCCAGUAAAAUUUAGGAAUCCUGUUCUUCAGGAUACUACUAUAUCUGAUAUCGAUGAACCAAUUAAUCUUAAUCCUCAUAAAACUCAAAUGAUACCAAUAUCACCUCCAAAAUUAUUGGUACCAAAAUCAGCAACAGUAUUACCCGAAGGACCAUCUAAUUCCAAAGAAGAUAAUGUUGAACGUACUAUACUUGCAAUGGCUAGUCUCGAUUUACCUACAGCAAUACAAUCAAUGAAUAGUAUUGACAAUUUACUAAGAUCACACAAAGCUUGUUUAUUACAAUCGAGAGAAGAUAAAUUUAUUAGUUCAGUGAAUAUGCAGUUAAAAUUUUUACAAACAUAUCCUUUACAUCAAGGAAGUGCAGAUGUAUCUAAAGGAUUUAGAAAUACCUUUAUGGUGAUACUUACGUUUUAUGAUACUGGAAUACUUGCUAAAAAUGUUCCACUAAUACAUUUAAAAGAACUUGUUGAACAAAUGAUUACUUUACUGGCAGAAUGUAAAUUAGAACGUUUACAAGAAGCAGAAGCAUAUAUCAGAGUGGUAAAUAAUAUAGUUGUUAAAAUAAUCGAUAAUUCAAAUCACACAACAAUUAUAUGUGUAUUAAUAGAACUACUUCAUGCGUGUGCUGAAUCAAACGCUCCUCCCAAAUAUGAAGAAUUGGUGAUGAAAUGUUUGUGGAAAAUUGUGAAAACAUUCCCAAAUUGGGCAGCAGAUUUGGAUUAUGAUACUAUUCUUUUAGAAGUUCAUAAAUUUUUGAAGGAUUAUCCAACUACUUGGUGGAAAAAGCGUUGGUCUGAUACUCCAUUAAGAACGAUAAAAACAGUUCUUCACAGUAUGACACGUGUUAAGGGAAGCACAAUACUCACUCAUCUGACAAAAAUAAAUAACACAAAUGAAUCUGAAUUACAUUCUUAUUUAAUAAGAUUAAUUGCUACAUUUAAACCAGAUGAAAUAAACACUGCGUCAAGACCAAUGUCAAAAAGCAAUAAUACAGCGAAGAUGCAAAAACAUUUAUCAAAAUCUACUCAUCAACAAUUGGCAGAAAUCUUUAAAAAAAUUGGAUCAAAAGAACACAUGCAAGAGGGUUUAAUGCAACUUUAUGAUUUUAAACUUCAAUAUCCUGACGCAGAUGUUCAACCUUUCUUAGUUAAGUCACAUCAGUUCUUCCAGGAUUUUAUAGAACAAGGAUUACGAGAAAUUGAUCAGGCACGACGAAAUCAAGGAGUUAUACCAAGAAUGAAUCAUUACAAUACAGAAUCUACUACAACUCCUGAAAUAGAAGAAAAAAGUCUACUGGAUCCAAUGCACAGGCUUGAAAAACUCAGGUCACUUGAAGCACAGUGUAGAACAACAUCUAGUCAGUCAAAUCCAGUAUGAAUUGUAUACCUAAUCAAUAUAAUUUAAAUAUCCAAUACUUGAAAGAUUAGCUCAUACACUAUAACGUAUGUUACAUACACCCCAUCUUUAAUAUUUUCCAUUGUUAUAUGAUAACGUUUAUUGGCAUGGCCUCCUUAAUAAUAUAAAAAGCUAAUAGUAAAACGGAGCAAGCUAUGAAACGUUCACUCGCUAAAGCUGUCAUCCAUCAUUUGAAUCGAAGCGAUAUAAAUCAAAUGGAAAACAUUUCUUGAAUGUAUGGAUUUCUAUCGAUAAAUGAAAGCGCUUAAUACAGUGCCCCAUGUUACCGGCAACUCAUCAAAAAUAGACCAUAGCGCCACAUAACAAAAAUCUGAACUAAUAAUUGUCAACUGUAUCAUGAAAGUCAUGAAAUAAAGAUCAAUUUGACAAUGAUA
This is an RNA transcript of Vespa velutina, 6649 nucleotides long. It is a transcript of the gene named protein mini spindles, with no coding region annotated. The transcript is spliced from 37 exons. The record is from RefSeq and is a predicted model, not a curated record. NCBI's taxonomy places the organism in Eukaryota, Metazoa, Arthropoda, Insecta, Hymenoptera, Vespidae.